Molecule: long non-coding RNA, 940 nt
Organism: Labeo rohita (rohu)
Lineage: Eukaryota; Metazoa; Chordata; Actinopteri; Cypriniformes; Cyprinidae
Exons: 2
Source: RefSeq, a predicted model, not a curated record
GCAAAACGUACAGUGCUAAAUCACAGCAUAUGCUGCCUCGGAGGAAAAUGCUGAAGACUGGACGUACAACAGUAUAUGGGCGCCCCCUAGCGUUUGGAUUAUUUCUGCUGAAAUCGCUCUUUAAGGUGGAAGAGCCAUCUUAAAUGGAAACUACAUCGGUCGCUCGCCUCUCACAUACACCAAAGUAACAUGCGCCUAUUUUAAUCUGAUUAAUGCUUUUGAGAUUUCCUUCUAAUUGACUUGGACGUUGCAGAGGUGCGCGUGUAGGUCUCUUCCACACGUUUUCUCCACAGUGUUGUUCACGCACGGGAGUAUUGCAGCGUUUCGGUUAAUUUUGGCCAGUUUAUUGAAACGAUCAAAAGUGAGCACCGUACCUCAUCUCUGACCAUUCAAAAGCCUGUAUGUGAACAAGACAGCCGAAAGCAAUACCGCAGAAGUAAAUUAUAGCGUACCGAUGUAAAGUGGAUUUUACUCCAAGAUCAAGGUAGAAUGCGACGUUCUGGCAGACUAGCUGUGCAUUGUCUCAGACCUCUGCAGGACUGUGACGAGGGCAGAGGACACGGCCGCUGUGGGAACUAAAGAAUGCUGAGUGGUGACGUUGACAUCAACACCAAUGCAUGAUGGGAGGAAGAACUUCACGCCAAGAUCUCACAAUGACAAAGCAGGGAAGGUAGGCCUUAAUAUAUGCUUUUGAACCACUGGAGCAACUAACCUGUAAUAGAUUCUUUUAUAGGCAAAUGGAUCAUUGGCUCCAGUGACAACGACAGCUUGAAAUCAACUAUGUACGUAUUGUAAUUCUGUGAAUACUGUUAUGAUGUAUGAUUAAAUAAUGCAACUCGGUGAGAAGCAGCAUUGUAUUUUUCUAAAGAUGGAUGCAUUGAAAGAAAAUCUUAGAAAUGUUUAAUUAUCAGCAGAAGUAAAUAAACAUGGGUCUUAUAUA